UCCCGAGUAGCUCAGUUGGUAGAGCAGCUGACUGUUAAUCAGCGGGUCGCAGGUUCGAGUCCUGCCUCGGGAG
Molecule: transfer RNA, 73 nt
Filed under: Pseudomonadota bacterium
Lineage: Bacteria; Pseudomonadati; Pseudomonadota
Also listed under: 4 other names
Description: tRNA-Asn
Rfam family: tRNA
About the family: Transfer RNA (tRNA) molecules are approximately 80 nucleotides in length. Their secondary structure includes four short double-helical elements and three loops (D, anti-codon, and T loops). Further hydrogen bonds mediate the characteristic L-shaped molecular structure. tRNAs have two regions of fundamental functional importance: the anti-codon, which is responsible for specific mRNA codon recognition, and the 3' end, to which the tRNAs corresponding amino acid is attached (by aminoacyl-tRNA synthetases). tRNAs cope with the degeneracy of the genetic code in two manners: having more than one tRNA (with a specific anti-codon) for a particular amino acid; and 'wobble' base-pairing, i.e. permitting non-standard base-pairing at the 3rd anti-codon position.
Source: RNAcentral